GGGGGAGGGGCGGAGGAGCGCUCCCCGUUCCCAUUGGUUGCGGCUGCCCCCUGGUGGGCGCCGGUGGCUGCGGCCGGGCGAGUGAGGGGCUCGGCUCGGCUCGGCUCGGCUCGGCUCGGCUCGGCUCGCGCUCGCGCUCCCUCAGUCGUCGUCGUGAGGCGGUGGGAGAUGGUUCCUCGGCCGAAACUCCACCGAGGCGGCCCAGGCAUGGCUGGGUUUCAUUGCGAGACGAAGCGGUAGAGGAAUAAUGGAAAUAUCAAGUCUGGCUGGGUUUGACUGGAAGAUAUUUGACUUCAGAACGUGCAUGAGUCUUUUCACAGCAGCGAUACUAGGAGGCAAUGCAACGGAAAGCUGAUCCGCCUGAGGAAGUUAGUAUAUGCACUUUACCUGAAUUUAUGUCUGGUUUACUUCAGUUUAGCUUCUUGUGGUUAAGUGACUGGCACAUAUGAAAGAUAGUUGACAUACUAUACUCACUCCUAUUUAAUGAAGACUGACAUUGGACUAAUCCAAUUAAAUGACUUUCUUAAGCUUCAUAGACUCCUGUGUUUUACAGUUUCCUAACGUUCAGUCUCUUUGGGUGCCUUAUUCCCACUAGAGGAGUUAUGGUAAGAAAGACCUGAACUUCUGUGAAUAAAUAAAAGUACUUAGCCUGUUCUGCAUAUUUGUCCUAAGUGUAUGCAUAAGAAGAGGCUCAGUGUUUUGCAGGAAAUAUCGGGAGUCCUUUAUUCCUGGUAAAACUAAAUUGGAGUUGCACUCUCUUACAGCAUUUAAAGAUCAAACAUUUAAUGUCUUUUUAUUCCAUUUCAUCUUCCUGAGUUUUUCCAUGUAAAAAAGAUCUUAUGUGGUUAUAUCACCUUAUUCUGUUACUGUCUGUCCACUCCUAGCACUGACUGGAAGUUGAUGUGGUUCACUGCUGUUCCGUCUGUCCAGUAAGAAGUACUUUCAAGGCUACUCCAUCUAUGGUAGCACCAGCGAGAAAAGCCCUCUGAUGCAAACAGAUGGAAGUCUUGCCUGGGUGUCUCAUGAGAAUAUUUUUCUGGGUGGUUUGCCAGAUCCAAGUUUUGAUCAUCUGAAAGAGCCUUUUGACACAACAGAAUUUCACAGACUUUACAGAGAUGAGAGACCUGGGGUAGUGGUGGGGUUGCUUCUAGACAGUUUUGUGAGCAUCCUCUCUCUGAACCUGUCAGGACCAGCCCAUGGAGCUGAUACUGCUAAGAUGGAGUACGAACUGGUGGCUGGAGAGCACAGUUUGGUUGUUGGAGUGAACAGAUUGAAUCGUAAGAUGCCUAGAAGAGGAGCUACCUGA
This 1306-nucleotide long non-coding RNA is filed under the name Calidris pugnax (ruff). Its description in RNAcentral is "lncRNA (ENSCPUG00000011708.1)". Lineage: Eukaryota; Metazoa; Chordata; Aves; Charadriiformes; Scolopacidae. The record is from RNAcentral.